This is a long non-coding RNA of Homo sapiens (human), 2431 nucleotides long. The record is from Ensembl. Lineage: Eukaryota; Metazoa; Chordata; Mammalia; Primates; Hominidae.
AUGUGGUGGAAUGAAGAGUAAAUGGAGGGGAAGAAAUGAAAGAAGCAAAUGAAAACUAUUCUUUUAGUAAUUUUGGUAAAGAAGAGAAGGGUAUGAAUGAAAUAGUGUAAGAGUAUUUUAUCAGCUGUGUUGGGAUUAAGAUGGCCAACUCUCAAUCCAGGCUGCCUAGCUUUGAAUUUUGGCUUUACCACCUUUUCACUGUGAUCUUGAGCAAGUUACAUAACUUCCCUGUGUUCCAGUUUCCUCAUCUAGAAAACAACGAUGAUGAUGAUGUCAGUGAUAACCUAUUUUGUACGUUCUCAUAAAUGGUAAGUAUGUUAAUAUAUGCAAACUUACUGGAGCAUUGCCUUGUCCAUGAUAAACUCAACUAGUGUUUGCUCAUCUCAAUUAUCCAGAAAAAAAAUGGAGAAGGGAGGAGGUUGGGCAGUAGUUUUGGAGGCAGAUGCAAUACUGAAAGAAGAUAUUUUUAGGAUAAGUGGAGUGAAUUGUGAAUUCUGACUGCUCUGGUCUGAUCCUAAGUUUCAGUUUUUAGCUAGGUCUGCUCAGUUCAUGAAAUCACAGUGGGCAGGGACCUUCACACAAAGCACCGAGGAUGAGAUGAAUGACAGGAGAGAGGGCAGAUUGGCAGAGCACUGUGUGGGAAAUUAAGCAGUCCCUGGUCUCAUGUCUUACCAUUGCAAUAAUCAGAAGAGCAGGUCUCAUAUCUUGCCUCAGUUUUUUAGGGUUUGAAGCAACAUGGAUCUCUCAAAUGUGAGCACCAAGACUGAAAACCACUAAGGAUAAUGAGAAGCUGUCUUUGUGCACACAUUUUGGUCUCCUCCCAUCCAUGCUGGAAAUAGCCACUUCAAUAUCAUCAGAAGGGUAUAAUGCUGGGAGACACUCUCUGGCCUCAUGGAGUUCCCUGUCCAGUUGGAUGGACACAAAGGCAAGAAGACACAGGGAGCGUGACAGCAGCUAUGAGAGGUGUUGGAGCCUGCGGCUGGGGUGGGCGCGGUGCCGGAAGGCUUCCUGAAGGGAAGGGCUUCUCCACCAGAUCCUAAAAACCAACUGGAACAGACUUUUUCCUCCUGCUAUUGGGCAUCAGAAGCCCAAGUUCUCUGGCCUUUGGACUCCAAGACCUGCAACAGUGCCAUGGUUUCCCUCCUGGCCCCAGUGGAUUUCAGUGCUGACUGAAAGUUACACCAUCAGCUUCCUUGAUUCUGAGGCCUUUGGGCAUGGACUGAGUCACCCUGCCAGCUACCCCGGUUCUCCAUAAUCAUGUUAGACAGUUCCCUGCCUGUGGGCUCCUGAAGGAAAGGAGAGAUGAGAUCAUUAUGGGCAGAACUUAGAACCUCUGGAUGAAUAGAGACGAGGUAAAAUUCUGGCACCUAUCCACAGCCUGAACCUUGGAGAACACCUCCCUUUCAUAUGACUUCUGCAAAGGGCGUGUUUCAGCUCACAGGGACAAAGAGUCACUGCACCAGAGAACCAGAAAGAGGUCACAAAAACACCAUGGGAAACGAUGAUGUCUUUUCCUUUUUGUUAUCUUGAUAAAGCUUCAUACAUGAAUGAUAAAAUGGAAAUUUCAGUUGAGGAACUAAUAAAUCAACAGAUGUCUUACUCCACAACGAGGUGCAAGAUCUUGAGGCUGGAUUUAGAAAGAGGAAGAGAAGACCAAUUGCACAGCUCAUCACCCCUCACCCAUCUGAUGAUAUGAAAGGUUUGAAGGAAGCCAGAGCUGGAGCAAGAUUUUCCUCAGAUGAGUUUUGAUGAACUACAAAGAAUGAAGAUGCUCUCCCUUGUCAUCCCCAGUCAAAGAAAAGGCACUUUAAAGAAAUCACUCACGAGCCAGAUAUUGUGGUUGUAUUUUGGUGGACACAGUGAAGUCACGUCUGGCUCGCUCCGCAAAUACUGGGAGGGUGAGAAGUGGGAGGCAGCCGUGGGACCGCUGAGUGGAGGAGGCUGACCUUUGAGGAAGCACGUGGGAUUUUUCCCCGCGGAACAGACGUGAGCCAUGAACACGGGAGCAAAAGUGUGCUAGAGUAACUCCCGUCAAAGAGAGACCCUUACUAGGGCAAGAAGACCUUGAUCAAAGCAUACCCAGAUGCCGAGGUUCUGAGGAAGGAAAUAAGUGACCACCAGGCAUGGUGCUCUGAUUAUUAAGCUAGUUUCUCAGCUCCAAACUCAACCUUCACUGCUUAGCCUUGUCACGGUGGGAAGGCUGGGAGAGGCCAAACCACCUUUCCCCUUUGCCAGGGCUCCCUGAUCAGUUCUGCCUAUGUGCUACUAAGGGAAACAGUAAGGCUGGAGGAGGGAAAGGGGACACCACCCUUCUCUUUGCGCACUGCUUAUGCCAGCAGCAUCCGAGCAAUACCGCUUGCCCUGUAGUGCUUCUUGAGUCGGAUUUCAGUUCAGUGUCUGGGUUUUUUAACAUUUCUAUAACCAUUCUCCC